GGGCAAUUAGCUCAGCGGUAGAGCGUCCGCCCUACACGCGGAAGGCCGUAGGUCCGAAUCCUACAUUGCCCACAA
RNAcentral lists this transfer RNA (75 nucleotides) under Candidatus Nealsonbacteria bacterium RIFCSPHIGHO2_02_FULL_38_75. RNAcentral describes it as "tRNA-Val". It matches the Rfam family "tRNA". Rfam says of the family: Transfer RNA (tRNA) molecules are approximately 80 nucleotides in length. Their secondary structure includes four short double-helical elements and three loops (D, anti-codon, and T loops). Further hydrogen bonds mediate the characteristic L-shaped molecular structure. tRNAs have two regions of fundamental functional importance: the anti-codon, which is responsible for specific mRNA codon recognition, and the 3' end, to which the tRNAs corresponding amino acid is attached (by aminoacyl-tRNA synthetases). tRNAs cope with the degeneracy of the genetic code in two manners: having more than one tRNA (with a specific anti-codon) for a particular amino acid; and 'wobble' base-pairing, i.e. permitting non-standard base-pairing at the 3rd anti-codon position. Lineage: Bacteria; Candidatus Nealsoniibacteriota. RNAcentral also lists the same sequence under 2 other names. The record is from RNAcentral.